Camellia sinensis is the source of this 410-nucleotide non-coding RNA. The record is from RefSeq and is a predicted model, not a curated record. Lineage: Eukaryota; Viridiplantae; Streptophyta; Magnoliopsida; Ericales; Theaceae.
UCCCCCUUUGUUUCUGAAGUUUAUUAUUAUGUUCUCUCUCUCUCUCUCUCUCUCUCUCUCUCUCCACUUAUUGAAGGAUUUCCAAAGCAACAGCUUGGACAAUAACAAAAAUGCAUGGAAUGCUAGCUUGAGUAGCAAAAGAUUUAAUGUGUUCUUAGAAGGUCUAUUGAAGCUCAUUAGAAGACAAGCUGGAAAGACUUGUGAGGGCAGUGUUUGGGGUUUUAUAAGUAGUGUUUCCAAAUUCUGGGAGCCACAAGCUCUCAAGCUUCGUGUCUAGCAGGACUCUUAUGCACUUUAGCAAAGGAGUUAAUGAAUACAUAGUCCUAAUAAUGAGAUGGUGGGCAAAUUAUACCAUUUCAUUGGUUGGGCACAUGAAUACGUACUCUAUGUGAGCUAUUAAAUAACUUCUG